This 467-nucleotide ribosomal RNA is filed under the name Fusobacterium sp. canine oral taxon 169. RNAcentral describes it as "bacterial SSU rRNA". It matches the Rfam family "Bacterial small subunit ribosomal RNA", at positions 9 to 490 of the family's 1533-position model. The record is from RNAcentral. Lineage: Bacteria; Fusobacteriati; Fusobacteriota; Fusobacteriia; Fusobacteriales; Fusobacteriaceae.
GAGUUUGAUUAUGGCUCAGGAUGAACGCUGACAGAAUGCUUAACACAUGCAAGUCAACUUGAACGUGGGUUUUUAACUUAGGUUUGGGUGGCGGACGGGUGAGUAACGCGUAAAGAACUUGCCUCACAGAUAGGGACAACAUUUAGAAAUGAAUGCUAAUACCUAAUAUUAUGAAAAUAGGGCAUCCUAUAAUUAUGAAAGCUAAAUGCGCUGUGAGAGAGCUUUGCGUCCCAUUAGCUAGUUGGAGAGGUAACGGCUCACCAAGGCGAUGAUGGGUAGCCGGCCUGAGAGGGUGAACGGCCACAAGGGGACUGAGACACGGCCCUUACUCCUACGGGAGGCAGCAGUGGGGAAUAUUGGACAAUGGACCAAGAGUCUGAUCCAGCAAUUCUGUGUGCACGAUGAAGUUUUUCGGAAUGUAAAGUGCUUUCAGUUGGGAAGAAAAGAAUGACCGUACCACNNAGAUG